RNAcentral lists this ribosomal RNA (478 nucleotides) under uncultured organism. RNAcentral's name for it is "partial 16S ribosomal RNA". It matches the Rfam family "Bacterial small subunit ribosomal RNA", at positions 332 to 801 of the family's 1533-position model. The record is from RNAcentral.
UACACUCCUGCGGGAGGCAGCAGUGGGGAAUUUUGGACAAUGGGCGAAAGCCUGAUCCAGCAAUGCCGCGUGAGUGAAGAAGGCCUUCGGGUUGUAAAGCUCUUUUGUCAGGGAAGAAACGGUGAGAGCUAAUAUCUUUUGCUAAUGACGGUACCUGAAGAAUAAGCACCGGCUAACUACGUGCCAGCAGCCGCGGUAAUACGUAGGGUGCAAGCGUUAAUCGGAAUUACUGGGCGUAAAGCGUGCGCAGGCGGUUUUGUAAGUCUGAUGUGAAAUCCCCGGGCUCAACCUGGGAAUUGCAUUGGAGACUGCAAGGCUAGAAUCUGGCAGAGGGGGGUAGAAUUCCACGUGUAGCAGUGAAAUGCGUAGAUAUGUGGAGGAACACCGAUGGCGAAGGCAGCCCCCUGGGUCAAGAUUGACGCUCAUGCACGAAAGCGUGGGGAGCAAACAGGAUUAGAUACCCCGGUAGUCCCAUGAU